AUCCUUUUGUAGUUCAUGGGCAUGAUGAUUGGGUGCUCACGUACAUGUGUGAGAUGUGCCACCCUUGAACCUUGUUACUACAUUGGCACAUUACCCGUCUGACC
This is a small nucleolar RNA of Aotus nancymaae (Ma's night monkey), 104 nucleotides long. NCBI's taxonomy places the organism in Eukaryota, Metazoa, Chordata, Mammalia, Primates, Aotidae. The record is from Ensembl.